UCUAUUAUGGCAGAAUUUAGUGCAAUAAAUUUAAGAUUUAUAAAUGAAAUUUUAUUUUCUUUUAGAA
RNAcentral lists this transfer RNA (67 nucleotides) under Aleurochiton aceris. RNAcentral's name for it is "tRNA-Leu". Lineage: Eukaryota; Metazoa; Arthropoda; Insecta; Hemiptera; Aleyrodidae. The record is from RNAcentral.